RNAcentral lists this long non-coding RNA (558 nucleotides) under Phascolarctos cinereus (koala). RNAcentral describes it as "lncRNA (ENSPCIG00000013661.2)". The stretch from base 1 to 169 matches the Rfam family "HOXA11 antisense RNA 1 conserved region 5", at positions 27 to 203 of the family's 203-position model. The record is from RNAcentral. Lineage: Eukaryota; Metazoa; Chordata; Mammalia; Diprotodontia; Phascolarctidae.
CAGACCUCCGACUUUAUAGCCCUUUGGCAGUCAACUUCAGCUUGGGGUAGAGCAGACAAAUCCGCAGUCCUCAGCAGUGAGAUGGACGUGCCACCCCACCCACAGGUCCUGGUUGUCCCUUUUUAAUUAACUGCACCCCUGCCUUAGAGGGAAGAGUGACCCUGAAAAGCUGUUUCAGGAGGUCCAAUCCCAGGGCACAAAGCUCACUCAGCUCAGGAAGAGAGCCAGCGGACGUGGGAAGGGCAGGCAAGAACCUGAGCACAUCAGGUCCCUUGUCCCAGGUUCUCCAAGCUUUCCCAGGUGUAAGACUCCACAAGCAUCCGUGAGCGGGCAGAAGAAACAGCUAGAACCCGUGUCCUCAGGAUGUUGGCUGCUAAAGCCAGUUUCUAAGGCCCCUGUUCCAGCCUGGCCAGCCCUGUUCGCUAACGAAGAAACCUAGUUCCUGCAUCUGAAGCCCUAGUGGAAGGACAGUAGCUGGGCACACAGCUCGGCCCUGAACGGGGACUUGCUCUGCUUCUGCUUCUUCUCUUGUUCCCACAUAAAUAAAGAGUAACCCCU